UGUGGGAGCGGGCUUGCUCGCGAAUGCGGUGGGUCAGUCAGCACCUGUAUUGACUGAUUCACCAUAUUCGCGAGCAAGCCCGCUCCCACA
RNAcentral lists this unclassified non-coding RNA (90 nucleotides) under Pseudomonas brenneri. The record is from RNAcentral. Lineage: Bacteria; Pseudomonadati; Pseudomonadota; Gammaproteobacteria; Pseudomonadales; Pseudomonadaceae.